GAUCAAGCUAAAAAGGGCUGACGGUGGAUACCUAGGCACACAGAGGCGAAGAAGGACGUGGCUACCGACGAAACGCUUCGGGGAGCUGGAAGCUUGCUGAGAUCCGGAGAUGUCCGAAUGGGGCAACCCUUUGUACUACCUGCUGAAUAUAUAGGCAGGAAAGAGCGAACCGGGCGAACUGAAACAUCUUAGUAGCCCGAGGAAAAGAAAGCAAAAGCGAUUCCCCUAGUAGCGGCGAGCGAAGCGGGAACAGCCUAAACCACUAGCUAUAAGCUAGUGGGGUAGUGGGACAGCACCACGGGAGAUGGCGGACUAGACGAAGCAGUUGAAAACUGCACCAGAGAAGGUGAAAGUCCUGUAGUCAAAAGAACAAAAUCCCCAGCUGAAUCCCGAGUAGCACGGGACACGUGGAAUACCGUGUGAAUCAGCCAGGACCACCUGGUAAGGCUAAAAACUACUGUGUGACCGAUAGCGAACGAGUACCGCGAGGGAAAGGUGAAAAGAACCCCGGGAGGGAAGUGAAAAAGAACAUGAAACCGUCAGCUUACAAGCAAUGGGAGGACGAUUAAACGUCUAACCGUGUGCCUGUUGAAGAAUGAGCCGGCGACUUAUAGGCGAUGGCAGGUUAAGACGGUGAAAGUCGAAGCCAAAGCGAAAGCGAGUCUGAAAAGGGCGUAUAGUCAUCGUUUAUAGACCCGAACCCGGGUGAUCUAACCAUGUCCAGGAUGAAGCAAGGGUAACACCUUGUGGAGGUCCGCACCGACCGAUGUUGAAAAAUCGGCGGAUGAGGUGUGGUUAGGGGUGAAAUGCCAAUCGAACCCGGAACUAGCUGGUUCUCCCCGAAAUGCGUUGAGGCGCAGCGGUUGAGGUCAAAUCUGGGGGUAAAGCACUGUUUCGGUGCGGGCUGCGAGAGCGGUACCAAAUCGAGACAAACUCAGAAUACCAGAUGUAUUGCUCAGCCAGUGAGACGGUGGGGGAUAAGCUUCAUCGUCAAGAGGGAAACAGCCCAGACCACCUGCUAAGGUCCCAAAAUGACUGCUAAGUGAGAAAGGAGGUGGGGGUGCUUAGACAACCAGGAGGUUUGCCUAGAAGCAGCAAUCCUUGAAAGAGUGCGUAAUAGCUCACUGGUCAAGGGCUCCUGCGCCGAAAAUGAACGGGGCUAAGCAGUAUACCGAAGCUGUGGGAUUGUUAAAACAAUCGGUAGGGGAGCGUUCCGUAUAGGGAGAAGCAGUAGCGGCAAGCAGCUGUGGACAGUACGGAAGUGAGAAUGUCGGCUUGAGUAGCGCAAACUAGGGUGAGAAUCCCUAGCCCCGAAACCCUAAGGGUUCCUCCGGCAGGCUCGUCCGCGGAGGGUUAGUCAGGACCUAAGGCGAGGCCGAAGGGCGUAGUCGAUGGACAACGGGUCAACAAUCCCGUACCGGUGCUAGUAGGUGCAGAGGGACGGAGAAGGUCAAGACCAGCCGGACGAUGGUUACCGGUUCAAGCAAGCAAGGCGUAGAGGGAUGGGGAAAACAUCCGGAGUUGAGCUGCGAGUACGAGCUGCUACGGCGGCGAAGUGGGACGAGAUCGAGCUUCCAAGAAAAGCUCUAAACACUAUUGCUAGGACUGCCUGUACCCGAAACCGACACAGGUAGGGAGGUAGAGAAUACUAAGGGGCGCGAGAUAACUCUCUCUAAGGAACUCGGCAAAAUGGCCCCGUAACUUCGGGAGAAGGGGUGCCCUCAGAAAUGGGGGUCGCAGUGAAGAGGCCCAGGCGACUGUUUACCAAAAACACAGGUCUCCGCGAAGUCGCAAGACGAAGUAUGGGGGCUGACGCCUGCCCAGUGCCGGAAGGUUAAGGAAGUUGGUCAGGGGUAACCCGAAGCUGACGACUGAAGCCCCGGUGAACGGCGGCCGUAACUAUAACGGUCCUAAGGUAGCGAAAUUCCUUGUCGGGUAAGUUCCGA
RNAcentral lists this ribosomal RNA (1946 nucleotides) under Hormoscilla sp. SP12CHS1. RNAcentral describes it as "partial 23S ribosomal RNA". It matches the Rfam family "Bacterial large subunit ribosomal RNA", at positions 1 to 1986 of the family's 2925-position model. The record is from RNAcentral. Lineage: Bacteria; Bacillati; Cyanobacteriota; Cyanophyceae; Gomontiellales; Gomontiellaceae.